This 1567-nucleotide long non-coding RNA is filed under the name Gossypium barbadense (sea-island cotton). RNAcentral's name for it is "long non-coding RNA (GBAR_LNC014567)". The record is from RNAcentral. Lineage: Eukaryota; Viridiplantae; Streptophyta; Magnoliopsida; Malvales; Malvaceae.
UCUGCUGUCCUAUUUCAUCAAUGCUUGACGACGACGACAGAAUCAACCACCCCUUGCCUACACUUUGAACUUUGUAACUCAAAUUUAAUAAUUUAUGAAUAUCAUCCAAAAUUAAUUUUAAAAAUAAAACUCUUUUAACUUUGUUUUAAUAAUUUUAUUUUUUAUUCCAAAAAUAAAAUUAAAAAAAAAAUUAGCAUGUGUCUUUUUUUUAAAUAUUAUAUUGUAUUUUUAUAGAACACUUGUUAAUCUCAACUCAGCUCGAGUUUAAAAACUCCAUUGGCAGUGUUAUAAAUAUUUUAGUCAUUGAGCUGUUAAUUGUCAUUAACGCUGUAACGAUAAGAUGACGUGGCACGUUAAAUCAUCAUUUCAAACAAAAAUUUUAGGUUAAUUUAUAUAAUCGAUCUCCAUAUUUUUUUUUCGUUUUUGAGCAAUUUAAUUUUUUUUAUUUUAUGUUUUUUAAACUUUAUUUUCUAUUUUUUUUCUUCUCACUCUGUUUUUCUUCUUUCUUCAUUUCUUUUAACGUAGUUUUUCUAUAUUUUUCAUCUGCUAGAACUAGUCCCUAUACUUUUAUUUUUUUGAACAAUUUAAUUUUUUCGAGUGAGGCGAGCCUGUGGACUAGUUUUAACAAAUGAAAAACAUAGAAAAACUAUGUUAAAAAAAACGAAGGGAGGAAAACAGAGGGAGAAGUAAAAAAGAAUGGAAAAAAAAAGAAAAGUUAAAAUAACAUAAAAGAAAAAAAAAUAAUUACUUAAAAUGAAAAAAAUAUAGGGAUUAAUUAUAAAUUUUAACUUAAAAUUUUCAUUUGAAAUGAUGAUUUAACAUGUCACAGUAUACCAUUACACCAACAACUCAGUAACUAAAAUAUUACAACACGGUAACGCAAGUAACUAAAACUUAACAUUUCAAACAUAAAUGACUAAAAUGUAACUUGAAGCAAACAAAAAUAAUUAUUUUGAUAGUUUACCCAAAUAUAAAAAAUAUACCUUAUAAGUUAACUGAUAAAUAAAAAUUGUAUUCUUAAUUAAUAUUUUAUUAUCACAUGCUAUAAACAAUUUGCUUUUGAUGUUCACUGCUUACUUUUCCACAUGGUUAUCUAGUUAUCAUGCAUCCCCAUCUUCAUAACCAAGUGAAUCAUUUCAUUUGCCAUUUUAAAAUAUAAAAAUAUAUAAUUAAAAAUUAUUAUAAAAAUAUUGUAUUUUUAAAAUAAUUGUUUAAAAAAUAUGAUAAUUUUUCACCGAUUUACGUAUAAAAUAAUUUUAUAGAAUCAAAAGCUAUCAUGAAUGUCACGUAAUAUUCUAACCUGACACUGAAUCAUUGAAACUGUUCCAUCGUGUUUAUUUUCUCAUUUGUUUGGCACUUUCUCUCUUUUUUCCGACCCGAAUGGACACCGCACUACCGCAGCAGUCCUUCGCCAUUCUUUUUAAAUUUUGGUUUGGUUGCAGUACGUAGCGAUUGAAAUUGGAGUGUCCAGCUUUUAGGGUUGGGGGACCAACCACAAGGCGUUGAAAGCCGCAAGAGCGGUGCAUGCUUGUGAGUUAGAAGCUUAGAAUUUGAUUUCCCAUGCUCU